GCACUCCCCGUCAUCGUCACCCGGUUCGUGUUGCCAAGCUCACUACUUUUGAGUAUUGAGUGUAGUUAAUCUAUCGGCCGUUUUCGUUUUCCCGUGUGCGUUUCUUAUUAUUUUUUUCCACUUUAUUCCACACGCGAUUCCCCCCUCAUGCACUUCCUACCAUCAUAAUCCGUUGUGUCCGCCGCCGCCGCGCGAAUCACCAACCAUUGCCCCGCGAAAACAAAACCGUUUCGUCGCGCGCACGACAACCAACGCCGUCACCCUCAUCAUCCCCGAUAAAGGUCUGUUGUCGUUGUCGUCGCCGCCGCCACCACCGCCGGUGAAACAGGACCAUAGCAAUAGCAGCAGUAGAAGCAGCAGCAGCAGUGGCAGUAGCAGUGGUUGUAACAACAACAACAACAGCAACGACAGCAACAACAACAACAAUAGCACCACCAGUACCCGUCGCCACCGCCGCCUCCUCCUCCGUACGCCGUACACGAUUAACGCAGUACCGACCUCAGCAGCGGCAUCAGCGACAAUAACAACAACAACAGUACCCUCAACGAACGCCGAAAUGGAGCCACAAGACACAAGCAUGACGAACCUGAUAAUCAACUAUCUACCGCAGUCGAUGACCGAUAAAAAACUUCAUCAAAUGUUCACCCAGAUUGGACAAAUCGAAGCGUGUCGGGUGAUGAAAGACGUCAAAACUGGGUACAGUUUUGGUUUUGGUUUCGUCAACUUUGUUCGCCCUGAAGAUGCAUCUAAAGCUAUUGAGGUGAUGAAUGGUCUUCAAGUUGAGAAUAAACGUUUAAAAGUAUCUUACGCUCGACCUGCUGGAGAAGAUAUCAAAGAUACAAACCUCUAUGUUCAAAAUUUACCAAGAUCAAUAACAGAAAGAGAACUUGAAGAUUUAUUUGCCCCUUAUGGUCAAAUUGUUCAAAAAAAUAUACUCAAAGACAAAUAUAGUGGACUUCCCAGAGGAGUAGCAUUUGUUCGUUAUAACAAAAAAGAAGAUGCCCAAAAAGCAAUUAUUCAACUAAAUGGUGUUUUGUUGGAGGGAUGCACAGAGCAUCUAUCAGUAAAAAUAGCAGAGGAACACGGCAAACAGAAAGCAGCUUAUUUAGCCGGUCUACAAACCGGUUUAGCGCACAGAGGUACAAAUGACACCCUCACAUACUUAAGCUACUAGAUAACAAAAGAAAAAAAGAAAAAAACCUAAAAAUUUCCCCCAACCAAUAAUCUGUUUCAAUGUCUUCGAAGUUACAUGUCAUAGAUCAGAAACAAAAUGUAAUAGCUUGAAUUCUGGCUCAUCGGUUUCCUGGGCUAAAAAUCCACAAAACAUGCACCAAUUAAUCAGAGCUAAUCAUGUUAUUGACAAGUAUCCCAAUCCAUUGUUGCAGCAUGUUGAAAGACAUACUAUUGGUGCUAUGCGCCAAGAUAGGGCUAGUUACCGUCUUACAUCAGUCGGUUUGUUUCCACCGCCACUUAGCUACAAUGUCGGCAUCGGUAAUGGGAACAUGUAUUGAUAUGCAUCACUUUCCAAAAAACACCUUUGUACAAAUUUUAAGGUUUUUUUCUUUUUAAUGUAAAUUAAAUUAAAUUAAUAUAAUAUAUAUAUAUAUACAACCAAUCUCCAUAAAUUAAAAUUGCUCGAUUGAAAACAAAAAAAAUUGUUGUAGAUUUCUUCUAUAUUUAGUCUAGAAAUUGUAUUGUAAAUAAUUUCAAGUAACAAUAAAGUUUAUGUUAUAAUUCUUUUGGAAUAUUUGAAAAAAAACUCAUAAUUUUAAUUUUGAUAUUAAUAUUAUCCUUUUAUAUAAUAAUUAAUUAUCUUAAUUAGUUUAAAAUAUAAGUAUGCAUGUGUGCCUGUAUUUCAUGUUUUUCUACUGUAAUGUUUUUUAAAUAAAAUAACUUGUCUGUAUA
RNAcentral lists this unclassified non-coding RNA (1905 nucleotides) under Acyrthosiphon pisum (pea aphid). RNAcentral describes it as "sex-lethal". Lineage: Eukaryota; Metazoa; Arthropoda; Insecta; Hemiptera; Aphididae. The record is from RNAcentral.